CCUACGGGUGGCAGCAGUGGGGAAUAUUGGGCAAUGGGCGCAAGCCUGACCCAGCAACGCCGCGUGCAGGAAGAAGGCUUUCGGGUUGUAAACUUCUUUUCUCAGGGACGAAGCAAGUGACGGUACCUGAGUUAUAAGCCACGGCUAACUACGUGCCAGCCGCCGCGGUAAUACGUAGGUGGCAAGCGUUAUCCGGAUGUACUGGGUGGAAAGGCCGUGUAGGCGGGGAAGCAAGUCAGAGAUGAAAACCAUGGGGUCAAACUGUGGCCUGCUUUUGAGACUAUUUAUCUAGAGUAAUGGAGAGGUAGACGGAAUGCCAUGUGAAGCGGUGAAAUGCGUAGAUAUUAGGAAGAACACCAGUGGCGAAGGCGGUCUGCUGGGCAGCAACUGACGCUGAGGCGCGAAAGCGUGGGGAGCAAACAGGAUUAGAUACCCCUGUAGUC
Molecule: ribosomal RNA, 443 nt
Filed under: uncultured bacterium
Lineage: Bacteria
Description: partial 16S ribosomal RNA
Rfam family: Bacterial small subunit ribosomal RNA
Source: RNAcentral